This 344-nucleotide ribosomal RNA is filed under the name Escherichia coli. RNAcentral describes it as "partial 23S ribosomal RNA". It matches the Rfam family "Bacterial large subunit ribosomal RNA", at positions 1214 to 1560 of the family's 2925-position model. Lineage: Bacteria; Pseudomonadati; Pseudomonadota; Gammaproteobacteria; Enterobacterales; Enterobacteriaceae. The record is from RNAcentral.
CUAUGUGUUGUUGGGUAGGGGAGCGUUCUGUAAGCCUGUGAAGGUGUGCUGUGAGGCAUGCUGGAGGUAUCAGAAGUGCGAAUGCUGACAUAAGUAACGAUAAAGCGGGUGAAAAGCCCGCUCGCCGGAAGACCAAGGGUUCCUGUCCAACGUUAAUCGGGGCAGGGUGAGUCGACCCCUAAGGCGAGGCCGAAAGGCGUAGUCGAUGGGAAACAGGUUAAUAUUCCUGUACUUGGUGUUACUGCGAAGGGGGGACGGAGAAGGCUAUGUUGGCCGGGCGACGGUUGUCCCGGUUUAAGCGUGUAGGCUGGUUUUCCAGGCAAAUCCGGAAAAUCAAGGCUGAG